RNAcentral lists this transfer RNA (90 nucleotides) under Coriobacteriia bacterium. RNAcentral's name for it is "tRNA-Ser". It matches the Rfam family "tRNA". From Rfam's summary of the family: Transfer RNA (tRNA) molecules are approximately 80 nucleotides in length. The record is from RNAcentral. Lineage: Bacteria; Bacillati; Actinomycetota; Coriobacteriia. RNAcentral also lists the same sequence under 1 other name.
GGAGGGGUGGCAGAGUCUGGUUUAUUGCGGUGGUCUUGAAAACCACUGUGGGGCAACCCACCGGGGGUUCGAAUCCCUCCCCCUCCGCCA